Molecule: non-coding RNA, 69 nt
Organism: Parastagonospora nodorum SN15
Lineage: Eukaryota; Fungi; Ascomycota; Dothideomycetes; Pleosporales; Phaeosphaeriaceae
Source: Rfam
CCGAAUUCGACUUCGACACAAUAUCCUGCCGGCGAUUAUUGUGCGACCUGCAGUGUCAGUCGGAUUCGG